RNAcentral lists this ribosomal RNA (688 nucleotides) under uncultured bacterium. RNAcentral's name for it is "bacterial SSU rRNA". It matches the Rfam family "Bacterial small subunit ribosomal RNA", at positions 134 to 818 of the family's 1533-position model. The record is from RNAcentral.
AAGUGGGGGAUAACCCGGGGAAACCCGGAUUAAUCCCUCAUGAUUUCGAAAGAACAAAGCAGGGGAUCGCAAGACCUUGCGCUUUUGGAUGAGCCUACGUCGGAUUAGCUAGUUGGUGAGGUAAAGGCUCACCAAGGCGACGAUCCGUAACUGGUCUGAGAGGAUGAUCAGUCACACCGGAACUGAGACACGGUCCGGACUCCUACGGGAGGCAGCAGUGGGGAAUAUUGGACAAUGGGCGAAAGCCUGAUCCAGCAAUGCCGCGUGUGUGAAGAAGGCCUUCGGGUUGUAAAGCACUUUAAGUUGGGAAGAAAAAGCUUUGGCUAAUAUCCAAAGCCUUGACGGUACCGACAGAAUAAGCACCGGCUAACUCUGUGCCAGCAGCCGGGGUAAUACAGAGGGUGCUAGCGUUAAUCGGAUUUACUGGGCGUAAAGCGUGCGUAGGCGGUUUAUUAAGUCCAUUGUGAAAGCCCCGGGCUCAACCUGGGAAUUGCAGUGGAUACUGAUAGACUCGAGAACGGUAGAGGGAGGCGGAACUCCAGGUGUAGCGGUGAAAUGCGUAGAUAUCUGGAAGAACACCGAUGGCGAAGGCAACCUCCUGGGCCUGUUCUGACGCUGAGGCACGAAAGCGUGGGUAGCAAACAGGAUUAGAUACCCUGGUAGUCCACGCUGUAAACGAUGAGAACUU